GACGAACGCUGGCGGCGUGCUUAACACAUGCAAGUCGAGCGGUAAGGCCCUUUCGGGGUACGACGAGCGGCGAACGGGUAGGAGUAACACGUGGGUGGACCUCGCCCUUACGUCUCUGGGGAGUAAAGACCCGUCGGGAAACGUAGGGUCGUAAUAACCGGAGUAUGACUCCAUAACGCAUGUUGUGGGGUGGAAAGCCUUGUGCGG
RNAcentral lists this ribosomal RNA (207 nucleotides) under uncultured bacterium. RNAcentral describes it as "partial 16S ribosomal RNA". It matches the Rfam family "Bacterial small subunit ribosomal RNA", at positions 28 to 217 of the family's 1533-position model. The record is from RNAcentral.